This 424-nucleotide ribosomal RNA is filed under the name uncultured bacterium. Its description in RNAcentral is "bacterial SSU rRNA". It matches the Rfam family "Bacterial small subunit ribosomal RNA", at positions 28 to 453 of the family's 1533-position model. The record is from RNAcentral.
GAUGAACGCUAGCGGCAGGCUUAACACAUGCAAGUCGAGGGGUAUAGUUCUUCGGAACUAGAGACCGGCGCACGGGUGCGUAACGCGUAUGCAAUCUACCUUUUGCAGAGGGAUAGCCCCAGAGAAAUUUGGAUUAAUACCUCAUAGUAUAGUACUUUGGCAUCAAGGAACUAUUAAAGUCACAACGGCAAAAGAUGAGCAUGCGUCCCAUUAGCUAGUUGGUAAGGUAACGGCUUACCAUGGCUACGAUGGGUAGGGGUCCUGAGAGGGAGAUCCCCCACACUGGUACUGAGACACGGACCAGACUCCUACGGGAGGCAGCAGUGAGGAAUAUUGGUCAAUGGACGCAAGUCUGAACCAGCCAUGCCGCGUGCAGGAUGACGGUCCUAUGGAUUGUAAACUGCUUUGUACGAGAAGAAACAAC